This 434-nucleotide ribosomal RNA is filed under the name uncultured bacterium. Its description in RNAcentral is "bacterial SSU rRNA". It matches the Rfam family "Bacterial small subunit ribosomal RNA", at positions 354 to 796 of the family's 1533-position model. The record is from RNAcentral.
GUGGGGAAUAUUGCACAAUGGGCGCAAGCCUGAUGCAGCAACGCCGCGUGCGGGAUGACGGCCUUCGGGUUGUAAACCGCUUUUAGUAGGGAAGAAGGGCUUCGGCUUGACGGUACCUGCAGAAAAAGGACCGGCUAACUACGUGCCAGCAGCCGCGGUAAUACGUAGGGUCCGAGCGUUGUCCGGAAUUAUUGGGCGUAAAGAGCUCGUAGGCGGUUUGUCGCGUCUGCUGUGAAAUCCCGAGGCUCAACCUCGGGCCUGCAGUGGGUACGGGCAGACUUGAGUGCGGUAGGGGAGAAUGGAAUUCCUGGUGUAGCGGUGGAAUGCGCAGAUAUCAGGAGGAACACCGAUGGCGAAGGCAGUUCUCUGGGCCGUAACUGACGCUGAGGAGCGAAAGCGUGGGGAGCGAACAGGAUUAGAAACCCUUGUAGUCC